Molecule: ribosomal RNA, 468 nt
Filed under: uncultured bacterium
Lineage: Bacteria
Description: partial 16S ribosomal RNA
Rfam family: Bacterial small subunit ribosomal RNA
Source: RNAcentral
GACGAACGCCGGCGGCGUGCUUAACACAUGCAAGUCGAACGGAAAGGCCCUGCUUUUGUGGGGUGCUCGAGUGGCGAACGGGUGAGUAACACGUGAGUAACCUGCCCUUGACUUUGGGAUAACUUCAGGAAACUGGGGCUAAUACCGGAUAGGAGCUCCUGCUGCAUGGUGGGGGUUGGAAAGUUUCGGCGGUUGGGGAUGGACUCGCGGCUUAUCAGCUUGUUGGUGGGGUAGUGGCUUACCAAGGCUUUGACGGGUAGCCGGCCUGAGAGGGUGACCGGCCACAUUGGGACUGAGAUACGGCCCAGACUCCUACGGGAGGCAGAAGUGGGGAAUAUUGCACAAUGGGCGGAAGCCUGAUGCAGCAACGCCGCGUGCGGGAUGACGGCCUUCGGGUUGUAAACCGCUUUCGCCUGUGACGAAGCGUGAGUGACGGUAAUGGGUAAAGAAGCACCGGCUAAGUACGUG